AACAUGGACCAAUGCUAAAUGUUGAAAGUGUUUAGUUAAACAAGUCUGCAUUUGACCUUAUCUAAAUUUCUAAAAUCUGUUGGUCAAGUGACUAGCUCGCAUUGAGGAAGUUGGUUUUUAUAUUUACACAUUUGUUCUGUGACAACUCCCUGUAUAGUUUACUAUAGUACUUUGAAUAUUUGGACUGAUAUUGCAUGCAAGAAUGACAGGGGGAGAAAAAAAACUGCACUAUUUCUUUGACUGAACAUUUUUACUUUGACAGUCAUUGGUUGCUAAUAUGGUUUGACUAUUUAGACUUUACAAUUUAAUACAUUUUUCUGAAAUUUAUAUUAGGGAGAGUCCAAAUGUGUAACUUUAAAACCAACUUUACCUCAAUAUAGUCCACAGGUCUCUAAACAAAGUCAGAUGAGAUCUAUUUGAAACAAGCUG
This 429-nucleotide long non-coding RNA is filed under the name Danio rerio (zebrafish). RNAcentral describes it as "zgc:172225 (ENSDARG00000097658.2)". The record is from RNAcentral. Lineage: Eukaryota; Metazoa; Chordata; Actinopteri; Cypriniformes; Danionidae.